Triticum dicoccoides is the source of this 490-nucleotide long non-coding RNA. RefSeq lists it as uncharacterized. Lineage: Eukaryota; Viridiplantae; Streptophyta; Magnoliopsida; Poales; Poaceae. The transcript is spliced from 3 exons. The record is from RefSeq and is a predicted model, not a curated record.
GCGGCUACUGCGCUGCAUCUACUACUUUCUACUACUGCGCUGCCUCUACUGGUCUCGAAGCAGCACAGGUGACAUGGGAGAACUAAAUCCAACUGGACUAUUCUCAUCUCCUCUUGAACUAGUGCCUCUAGCAGAUCCAAGAAAAGGUAUGCAUCCAGCAGGAGAUGCUGGACUGCUACUUGAGCCUGCUCCAAAUGCUCCUGGAGGGUACUGCCCCAUGUUACCUUGGUAAGCAACACCAUGGUAGCCUGGAGGUAUGGAUGGAACUUGCUGGUUGUUUGGGCUCUGUGCAUCUGAAGGUGAGAAGGAGGAGUUCAUCAUGCUUGUGAAGCUUUGAGAAGAUGAGUGCUCCAUGUUUUGGGGGAGAGUUUUUCCAAGAUCUUCUUGUGCUUCUAUGAGCUUGUUCUGUACAUUUUAUAGACAGAUUCUCCAAACGGGUAGAUUUUUCUACAGCAGUGCAACGGUCAUCUGGAAAUUUGAGUGCUCUGGU